This 305-nucleotide ribosomal RNA is filed under the name uncultured bacterium. RNAcentral's name for it is "bacterial SSU rRNA". It matches the Rfam family "Bacterial small subunit ribosomal RNA", at positions 334 to 637 of the family's 1533-position model. The record is from RNAcentral.
CUGCCCUACGGGGGGCAGCAGUGAGGAAUAUUGGUCAAUGGGAGAGAUCCUGAACCAGCCAAGCCGCGUGAGGGGAGACGGCCCUAUGGGUUGUAAACCUCUUUUGUCGGAGAACAAAACCCGGGACGUGUCCCGGACUGCGUGUAUCCGAAGAAAAAGCAUCGGCUAACUCCGUGCCAGCAGCCGCGGUAAUACGGAGGAUGCGAGCGUUAUCCGGAUUUAUUGGGUUUAAAGGGUGCGUAGGCGGUCCGUUAAGUCAGCGGUAAAAUUGCGGGGCUCAACCCGGGCCGGCCGUUGAAACUGGG